RNAcentral lists this long non-coding RNA (2368 nucleotides) under Fragaria vesca (wild strawberry). RNAcentral describes it as "long non-coding RNA (FVES_LNC002375)". The record is from RNAcentral. Lineage: Eukaryota; Viridiplantae; Streptophyta; Magnoliopsida; Rosales; Rosaceae.
UGGCUACCAUUAACACAAGAGAAAUCAAAGAAAAGUAGACUUUCUGAAAAUCUAAAUUGUUCUUGAGAUUGAUGCAAAUUAACCAAGGUAAAAAAUGCAAAGUCUACAUUUAACAUAAGACACAACAACUUUUUUCAUAAAAAAUGGCUACCAUUAACAUAAGAGAAAUUAAAGAAAAGUAGACUUUCUGGAAAUUUAAAUUGUUCUUGAGAUUGAAGCAAACCAAGGUAAAAGAUGAAAAGUCUACAUUUAACAUAAGACACGACUGCUGUUUUCAUGAGAAAUGUCUACCAUUUAGAUGGGCAAAAUCACAAAAAUGUAGACAUUCUGGAAAUCAAAAUUGUUCUUGAGAUUGAAUCAAUGAAUAUUCACAAAAUGAAAAUUGACCGUCUGAUGUGAUCAUUAUAGUGAAACAUGGCUAUGGUAUAAAAUUCAACUGGAUUCAACAAUGUUCGGUGCUCGAUCAAAGCGGUCAACCCUAAUUCAUCUUCACUUAUCACACGAAAACUAUCUUACCUACCUCUUCGUGACCUAGUUUGGUGGAUUCUUCAACACAAUAAAGUGUCACAUAGAUGAGACAUAACCACCCAUGUAAAACUUUGGGGACGUUUACCACCCGAGGAUAGGGCUCUCCUUAUUGAAGCAUAAACUUAAAUAGGGUUGACCGUUUCGAUCGGGGCCCAAACAUUGACGAAUUAAAGUGAUUUUCCUACCGUAGCCGUAUUUUACUAUAUCGAUCACAUCCUAUUUCAUGAGAUUUUUGAAAAUUUUGCUUCCUCUAUAUAGUUGGCUCACAAAGUUGUACACUAGCAUAUAACCUACCAAACAAGUUAUACCACAUUAGUAAGCACGUUAUAAUUCCGAUGACUAAAAUUCACAAAAUAAAAAUUGACCUUAUGAUGUGAUCAUUACAGUGGAACAAUGCUAUGGUAUAAAAUUCAACUGGAUUCAACCCUAAACCCUAAACCCUAAACCCUGGGGCUUAAUCAAAGCGGUCAACCCUAAUUCAUUUUCACUUCUCACACGAAAACUAUCUUACCUACCUCUUCGUGACCUAUUUUGGUGGAUUCUUCAACACAAUAAAGUGUCACAUAGAUGAGACAUAACCACCCAUGUAAAACUUUGGGGCUGUUUACCACCCGAGGAUAGGGCUCUCCUUAGUGAAGCAUAAGCGUAAAUAAGGUUGAUCGCUUCGAUUGGAGCCCAAACAUUGGCGAAUUAAAGUGAUUUUUCCACCGUAGCUGUAUUUUACUAUAUUGAUCACAUCAUAUUUCACGAGAUUUUUGAAAAUUUUGCUUCCUCUAUAUAGUUGGUUUACAAAGUUGUACACUAGCAUAUAUAUAACCUAUCAAACAAGUUAUAUUACUUUAGUAGGCAUGUUAUGAUUUCGAUGACUAAAAUUCACAAAAUGAAAAUUGACCGUAUGAUGUGAUCAUUAUAGUGAAACAUGACUAUGGUAUAAAAUUCAACUGGAUUUAACAAUGUUCGGGGCUCGAUCAAAGCGGUCAACCCUAAUUCAUAUUCAUUUAUCACACGAAAACUAUCUUACCUACCUCUUUGUGACCUAGUUUGGUGGAUUCUUCAACACAAUAAAGUCUCACAUAGAUGAGAUUUAACCACCCAUGUAAAACUUUGGGGACAUUUACCACCCGAGGAUAGGGCUCUCCUUAGUGAAGCAUAAACGUAAAUAGGGUUGACCGCUUCGAUCGGGGCCCAAACAUUGCCAAAUUAAAGUGAUUUUUCUACAGUAGCCAUAUUUUACUAUACCGAUCACAUCCUAUUUCACAAGAUUUUUGAAAAUUUUGCUUCCUCUAUAUAGUUGGUUCACAAAAUUGUACACUAGCAUAUAACCUACCAAACAAGUUAUACCACAUUAGUAGGUACGUUGUGAUUCCAAUGACUAAAAUUUAGACGCAGUUGUGAAGUGGGUCCCGCCAGUGGUUUGUGACAUUUUUCGGUGAAUUUUUCCGACACUAGAGCUAUUUUCUAUGCAUUUUUAAAGUUUUGAAAUGGUGGAAAAAAAGUAAAACUUUAAUGACAUGGACAGAUUAGUGACUUAGGACGAAUGAGGUCGCAACAUGUGGCAAUUAGUGUUGAAUUUUCAGAAAAGGAAUCUCCCGAAAUGGAAACUUACCAUACUUUUUAUAGUAGAUUUCCAUAAAUAGUAACUUUUGUUUUUAAAGCAUAACUAUCCCCCCAAAAUGGAAACUUACCCUUCCUUUUAUAGUUGAUUUCCAUAAAUAGUAACUUUUGUUUUUAGAGCAUAACUAUCCCCCCAAAAUGGAAACUUACCAUUCCUUUUAUAGUUGAUUUCUAUAAAUAGUAAUUUUCGUUUUUAGAGCAUAACUAUCCCCCCCAAAAUGGAAAC